UAAGGAAUCUUGCGCAAUGGACGAAAGUCUGACGCAGCAACGCCGCGUGCAGGAAGACGGCCUUCGGGUUGUAAACUGCUUUUAUUUGGGAAGAUUAUGACGGUACCAAAUGAAUAAGGACCGGCUAACUACGUGCCAGCAGCCGCGGUAAUACGUAGGGUCCAAGCGUUAUCCGGAUUUACUGGGCGUAAAGAGAUGCGCAGGCGGUGAUUUAAGUGCGAUGCGAAAUCUGGUGGCUCAACCAUCUAGACUGUAUCGCAAACUGGAUUACUAGAGGAGAGUAGAGGCAAGUGGAACUGGUGGUGUAGCAGUGAAAUGCGUAGAUAUCACCAAGAACACCAAUGGCGAAGGCAGCUUGCUGGGCUCUUCCUGACGCUCAGGCUCGAAAGCGUGGGGAGCGAACGGG
This 406-nucleotide ribosomal RNA is filed under the name uncultured bacterium. RNAcentral describes it as "bacterial SSU rRNA". It matches the Rfam family "Bacterial small subunit ribosomal RNA", at positions 355 to 776 of the family's 1533-position model. The record is from RNAcentral.